GUUGACCUCGGAUCAGGUAGGGAUACCCGCUGAACUUAAGCAUAUCAAUAGGCGGAG
RNAcentral lists this ribosomal RNA (57 nucleotides) under Pseudocercospora griseola f. mesoamericana. RNAcentral's name for it is "partial 28S ribosomal RNA". Lineage: Eukaryota; Fungi; Ascomycota; Dothideomycetes; Mycosphaerellales; Mycosphaerellaceae. The record is from RNAcentral.